UUUGCUUGUUGUCAAGCCAUGAUGUCUCUCUCUCUCUCAUGGGUGGGCCAAAUUCUCUGGGCGGGCAAAGCAGAGAAAGGGGAGGUAACCUUUCCCCUUAUGACCUCAUAAAGGGAAGAUUCCAGAUCGGCCCAUCUGAGCUUUCAUUUUCUCAAAGGUAGAGCAGGAUACCCAGGGCUCGGUUUACACCUAUCACCAUUUCUAGCCACUGGGGGACCAUAGGCAGGCUGGGGGAACUCAUAUUGAUGUUGAAAAACCUCAUUAAGUGAAUUUUUCAUGCCA
Molecule: long non-coding RNA, 282 nt
Organism: Sander lucioperca (pikeperch)
Lineage: Eukaryota; Metazoa; Chordata; Actinopteri; Perciformes; Percidae
Exons: 2
Source: RefSeq, a predicted model, not a curated record